UAUCUCUGUAGAGUCUGCAUAUCAAUAAGCGGAGGAAAAGAAACUAACAAGGAUUCCCUUAGUAACGGCGAGUGAAGCGGGAAGAGCUCAAAUUUGAAAUCUUCAAGGUUCUACCUUGACGAAUUGUAGUUUAAAGAAGUGUUUUCUGUUAGAUGAGUAGCAAAAGUUCCUUGGAAUGGGACAUCAUAGAGGGUGAGAAUCCCGUAUUUGGUUAUUCAUUCUAGCUUUGUGAUACACUUUCAAAGAGUCGGAUUGUUUGGGAAUGCAGUCCAAAAUGGGUGGUAAAUUUCAUCUAAAGCUAAAUAUUGGCGAGAGACCGAUAGCGAACAAGUACCGUGAGGGAAAGAUGAAAAGAACUUUGAAAAGAGAGUUAAACAGUACGUGAAAUUGUCAAAAGGGAAGCGUUUGACACCAGUGUUGUUUUUCCGAAAAUCAAUUACGAAUGGCUUGAUUUUGUGUUGUAUUGACCUUAUCAGCUUUCUUCACUUUUUUCGAGUCUUUCUUAAUGCACUUUUCGGUUAACAAGUCAACAUCAAUUUCUUUUGUUGUAAAAGAGUAUUCGGAAGGUGGCUUUCUUUUCGGAGAAAGUGUUUAUAGCCCUAUACUUCUACAAUCGGAGAGAUUGAGGUCUGCAGCGUAGAUCCUUCGGGGUUAGAUACACUUGUGCUAAGUUGUAGCUUUUCAUAGACAACUUGUUGACUAUGUUUAGUCAUGCGGCUUACUCGCUUAUGCUAUUUUACCUACGCUUAGGAUGUUGACUGAUAUGUAGUCGUA
This 774-nucleotide ribosomal RNA is filed under the name uncultured Neocallimastigales. Its description in RNAcentral is "partial large subunit ribosomal RNA". It matches the Rfam family "Eukaryotic large subunit ribosomal RNA", at positions 24 to 644 of the family's 3401-position model. Lineage: Eukaryota; Fungi; Neocallimastigomycota; Neocallimastigomycetes; Neocallimastigales. The record is from RNAcentral.